This 164-nucleotide small RNA is filed under the name Arabidopsis thaliana (thale cress). Its description in RNAcentral is "ATSL208960". Lineage: Eukaryota; Viridiplantae; Streptophyta; Magnoliopsida; Brassicales; Brassicaceae. The record is from RNAcentral.
CAAAGUUAGAAAGACUUCCGCUGUGUAAUAAGAGAGCGAUUAUAGAAUUUAGCCUCGUAAAGGAAAUUUUAUGUUGAAUCGCGAAAAAUUAAGAGGUUCGGCCGGGAAGAGGCGCGAACUUGAGUACAGCCCCUGUGGAGACUCCCUUUAGACAAGAUCUUUCU